GACGAACGCUGGCGGCGUGCCUAAUACAUGCAAGUAGAACGCAGUUGCGACCGGGUGAGUAACGCGUAGGUUACUGCCUGGUAGCGGGGGAUAACUACUGGAAACGAUAGCUAAUACCGCAUCCUACUAGAUGGACCUGCGUUGUAUUAGGUAGUUGGUGAGGUAACGGCUAAACAAGGCAACGAUACAUAGCAGACCGGAGAGGAGGAUCGGCCACACUGGGACGGAGACAAGGGCCAGAAUACUACGGUAGGCAGCAGUAGGGAAUCGUCGGCAAUGGGGGGAACCCUGACCGAGCAACGACGCGUGAGUGAAGAAGGUUUUCGGAUCGGAAAGCGCUGUUGUUAAGGAAGCGGUACUUAACCAGAAAGGGACGGCUAACUACGUGCCAGCAGCCGCGGUAAUAC
This 407-nucleotide ribosomal RNA is filed under the name uncultured bacterium. RNAcentral describes it as "partial 16S ribosomal RNA". It matches the Rfam family "Bacterial small subunit ribosomal RNA", at positions 28 to 526 of the family's 1533-position model. The record is from RNAcentral.